UCCCAGCACUCCAAGUCGCAGCCACAAUUAUUGGGUCUAAAACAUCCGUAGCUUGCUUUGUAAGUCUUUUGUGAAAUCGGGCAUCUUAAGUGUCCGUCGGGCAAAAGAUACUGUUUAGCUAGGGACCGGGAGAUGUAAAGAGUACGAAUGGAGUAGCGGUAAAAUGCGUUGAUCCUAUUUGGACUAACAACAGCGAAGGCACUUUACAAGAACGGAUCCGACAGUGAGGGAUGAAGGCUAGGGGCGCAAAUUG
This 253-nucleotide ribosomal RNA is filed under the name uncultured archaeon. Its description in RNAcentral is "partial 16S ribosomal RNA". It matches the Rfam family "Archaeal small subunit ribosomal RNA", at positions 474 to 726 of the family's 1478-position model. The record is from RNAcentral.